GACGAACGCUGGCGGCGUGCUUAACACAUGCAAGUCGAACGGAAAGGCCCUGCUUUUGUGGGUUGCUCGAUUGGCGCACGGGUGAGUAACACGUGAGUAACCUGCCCUUGUCUUUGGGAUAACUUCAGGAAACUCGGUCUCAUACCGGAUAGGAUCUCCUGCUCCGCGUUGUUGGUUGGAAAGUUUCGGCGGUUGUGGAUGGACUCGCUGCUUAUCCGCUUGUUGGUGUGGUAGUGACUUACCAAGGCUUUGACGGGUAGCCUGCCUGAGAGGGGGACCGGCGACAUGGGGACUGAGAUACGGCCCAGACUGCUACGGGAGGCAGCGGUGGGGAAUAUGGCACAAUGGGCGGAAGCGUGAGGCAGCAACGCCGCGUUCGGGAUGACGGGCUUCGGGUGGUAAACAGAUUUGGCCUGUGACGAAGCGUGAGUGACGGUAAUGGGUAAAGAAGCAACGGCUAACUACGUG
RNAcentral lists this ribosomal RNA (468 nucleotides) under uncultured bacterium. Its description in RNAcentral is "partial 16S ribosomal RNA". It matches the Rfam family "Bacterial small subunit ribosomal RNA", at positions 28 to 507 of the family's 1533-position model. The record is from RNAcentral.